Molecule: ribosomal RNA, 519 nt
Filed under: uncultured bacterium
Lineage: Bacteria
Description: partial 16S ribosomal RNA
Rfam family: Bacterial small subunit ribosomal RNA
Source: RNAcentral
AGCGAACGUUAGCGGCAGGCCUAACACAUGCAAGUCGCACGAGAAUUCGGCUUCGGCCGAUAGUAAAGUGGCGGACGGGUGAGUAACACGUGGAUAAUCUGCCCUUCGGCGGGGGACAACAGUCCGAGAGGAUUGCUAAUACCGCAAACGUCAACGAGGUCUUCGGACCUUGUUGGGAAAGGUGGCCUCCUCAUGAAAGCUACCACCGAAGGAUGAGUCCGGCUCCCAUCAGCUAGUUGGCGGUGUAAUGGACCACCAAGGCUAAGACGGGUAGCGGGUCUGAGAGGAUGAUCAGCCACACUGGGACUGAGACACGGCCCAGACUCCUACGGGAGGCAGCAGUGGGGAAUAUUGGGCAAUGGGCGCAAGCCUGACCCAGCCAUGCCGCGUGAGUGAUGAAGGCCUUCGGGUCGUAAAGCUCUGUGGGGAGGGAAGAAACAGCUUGUGGCUAACAUCCACGAGCCCUGACGGUACCUCCUUAGCAAGCACCGGCUAACUCCGUGCCAGCCGCCGCCGUAA